AGAUUGAACGCUGGCGGCAUGCUUUACACAUGCAAGUCGAGCGGCAGCGCGGGGGCAACCCUGGCGGCGAGCGGCGAACGGGUGAGUAAUACAUCGGAACGUGUCCAGUAGUGGGGGAUAACCAGUCGAAAGAUUGGCUAAUACCGCAUACGAUCUACGGAUGAAAGCGGGGGACCGCAAGGCCUCGCGCUAUUGGAGCGGCCGAUGUCCGAUUAGCUAGUUGGCGGGGUAACGGCCCACCAAGGCGACGAUCGGUAGCUGGUCUGAGAGGAUGAUCAGCCACACUGGAACUGAGACACGGUCCAGACUCCUACGGAGGCAGCAGUGGGGAAUUUUGGACAAUGGGCGCAAGCCUGAUCCAGCCAUGCCGCGUGAGUGAAGAAGGCCUUCGGUGUAAAGCUCUUUCGGCGGGACGAAACGGUCCGUGACAACGACCAUGGACUAAUGACGGUACUCGCAGAAGAAGCACGCUAACUACGUGCCAG
This 485-nucleotide ribosomal RNA is filed under the name uncultured soil bacterium. RNAcentral describes it as "bacterial SSU rRNA". It matches the Rfam family "Bacterial small subunit ribosomal RNA", at positions 26 to 511 of the family's 1533-position model. The record is from RNAcentral.